GCAUGUAUCUUCUCCGUUUGGACUAUUUUUGAGCUUAUUGGAUUCUGUUUGUUAUUCUGAACCUUAUUCUGGGCUUAAUAUGGAUCGAAUCUCAAGAUAUUUUUUUCAAUAAGAUCAAUCUCGAUAGAUACCUGUAGAGGUCGAACACUUAUGCGGCUACAACGAAAUCUCGAAGACAUCUAUGGACCACCAGAUCGUGG
This 200-nucleotide long non-coding RNA is filed under the name Elaeis guineensis (African oil palm). RNAcentral's name for it is "long non-coding RNA (EGUI_LNC055001)". The record is from RNAcentral. Lineage: Eukaryota; Viridiplantae; Streptophyta; Magnoliopsida; Arecales; Arecaceae.